This 424-nucleotide ribosomal RNA is filed under the name uncultured bacterium. RNAcentral's name for it is "bacterial SSU rRNA". It matches the Rfam family "Bacterial small subunit ribosomal RNA", at positions 355 to 776 of the family's 1533-position model. The record is from RNAcentral.
UAAGGAAUAUUGGACAAUGGGCGCAAGCCUGAUCCAGCCAUGCCGCGUGCAGGAUGAAGGUGUUAUGCACUGUAAACUGCUUUUACUCGGGAAAAAACCCCUGCAUUCUUGCGGGGCUGAUUGUACUGAGAGAAUAAGGGACGGCUAACUUCGUGCCAGCAGCCGCGGUAAUACGAAGGUCCCAAGCGUUAUCCGGAUUUAUUGGGUUUAAAGGGUGCGUAGGCGGGCUAUUAAGUCAGUGGUGAAAUCUCCAUGCCUAACAUGGAAACUGCCAUUGAUACUGAUGGUCUUGAGUACAUUUGAAGUGGGCGGAAUGUGUCAUGUAGUGGUGAAAUACUUAGAUAUGACACAGAACACCGAUUGCGUAGGCAGCUCACUAAACUGUAACUGACGCUGAGGCACGAAAGCGUGGGGAGCAAACAGG